Oryza brachyantha (malo sina) is the source of this 572-nucleotide long non-coding RNA. RefSeq lists it as uncharacterized. Lineage: Eukaryota; Viridiplantae; Streptophyta; Magnoliopsida; Poales; Poaceae. The record is from RefSeq and is a predicted model, not a curated record. The transcript has 3 exons.
ACGUGGAUAAUAAAAAGGAAAUUAGUGAAAGAAUUGAGGAGAAAAAGGGAGAGAGUGUGUGAAACAUUUCCAAUAUCAUAUUCUCCACCUCUCUUCUGCUGCCUAGGCUCCAAUCCAAUUCCUCUCAGUACCUUUCGAACGGAUGGCCAAGACGCGACAGUUGCAGAGGUGGAUGCUGGAGUCAUUCACCAUCAAGGGACUGGACGGGGUCACCAAGCAUGAGGAGUAUUUCUGAUCCUUUUAUUUAUUUAGUUCUUUCUUGUUUGGGGAGAAUUUUGAGUGUAAUUUGAGCAUCUAGGUUUCUCGAGUCGACUCUAGAUCUUAAACCUAAUUUCUUUGACAAAUGACAAUGUUCUUUUUUAUUCAUUGAUACUAGCAGAUAGCGGCGUCACAGUGGAUUGACAUCAAUAUAGCAGAUUUUGCAAGUGUGAGAUGCCAUCCAAUCCUGAUGACCUUAUGAUGUGAGGAUUGCUCUGACUGGUUCACUCUUGUGUUGGAAUGACCAUCAAAGAAGCGAACAAAUUGGAGCAUUUUUUUCUAUAAAAGUUGUGUUGCUAAAAAUGGAAAGAAGG